Molecule: ribosomal RNA, 447 nt
Filed under: uncultured bacterium
Lineage: Bacteria
Description: bacterial SSU rRNA
Rfam family: Bacterial small subunit ribosomal RNA
Source: RNAcentral
UCGGGAAUUUUGGGCAAUGGGCGAAAGCCUGACCCAGCAACGCCGCGUGAAGGAUGAAGUAUUUCGGUAUGUAAACUUCGAAAGAAUAGGAAGAAUAAAUGACGGUACUAUUUAUAAGGUCCGGCUAACUACGUGCCAGCAGCCGCGGUAAUACGUAGGGACCAAGCGUUGUUCGGAUUUACUGGGCGUAAAGGGCGCGUAGGCGGCAUGACAAGUCACUUGUGAAAUCUCUGGGCUUAACCCAGAACGGCCAAGUGAUACUGUCGCGCUAGAGUGCAGAAGGGGCAAUCGGAAUUCUUGGUGUAGCGGUGAAAUGCGUAGAUAUCAAGAGGAACACCUGAGGUGAAGACGGGUUGCUGGGCUGACACUGACGCUGAGGCGCGAAAGCUAGGGUAGCAAACGGGAUUAGAUACCCCAGUAGUCCCUGAGCGGGCUGGCAAGGCGCAU